GAUGAACGCUGGCGGCGUGCCUAAUACAUGCAAGUCGAGCGAACGGACGAGAAGCUUGCUUCUCUGAUGUUAGCGGCGGACGAGUGAGUAACACGUGGAUAACCUACCUAUACGACUGGGAUAACUUCGGGAAACCGUAGCUAAUACCGGAUAAUAUUUUGAACCGCAUGGUUCAAAAGUGAAAGUCGGUCUUGCUGUCACUUAUAGAUGGAUCCGCGCUGCAUUAGUUAGUUGGUAAGGUAACGGCUUACCAAGGCAACGAUGCAUAGCCGACAUGAGAGGGUGGUCGGCCACACUGGAACUGAGACACGGUCGAGACUCCUACGGGAGGCAGCAGUAGGGAAUCUUCCGCAAUGGGCGAGAGCCUGACGGAGCAACGCCGCGUGAAUGAUGAAGGUCUUCGGAUCGUAAAACUCUGUUAUUAGGGAAGAACAAAUGUGUAAGUAACUGUGCACAUCUUGACGGUACCUAAUCAGAAAGCCACGGCUAACUACGUG
Molecule: ribosomal RNA, 497 nt
Filed under: uncultured bacterium
Lineage: Bacteria
Description: partial 16S ribosomal RNA
Rfam family: Bacterial small subunit ribosomal RNA
Source: RNAcentral